This 456-nucleotide ribosomal RNA is filed under the name Picochlorum sp. RCC944. RNAcentral describes it as "partial Bacterial large subunit ribosomal RNA". It matches the Rfam family "Bacterial large subunit ribosomal RNA", at positions 120 to 631 of the family's 2925-position model. Lineage: Eukaryota; Viridiplantae; Chlorophyta; Trebouxiophyceae. The record is from RNAcentral.
GGGGAAACCCGCCCCUUUUGGGUCACCUCUGACUGAAUACAUAGGUCAUUGGAGCGAACGCGGUGAACUGAAACAUCUAAGUAGCCGUAGGAAAAGAAAUCAACCGAGAUUCCCUCAGUAGCGGCGAGCGAACGGGGACCAGCCCUUAAGCUGGACAACUGGUAGGAGAAGGCCCUGGAAAGAGCCGCCAUAGUGGGUGAUAGCCCCGUAUCCGAAACCUGAGUCCAGUGAAAUCGAGUAGGACGGGACACGAGACAUCCUGUCUGAACAUGGGGGGACCAUCCUCCAAGGCUAAAUACUCCUGACUGACCGAUAGUGAACCAGUACCGUGAGGGAAAGGCGAAAAGAACCCCUGUGAGGGGAGUGAAAUAGAUCCUGAAACCGUAUGCGUACAAGCAGUCGGAGCGGACUUGUUCCGUGACGGCGUACCUUUUGUAUAAUGGGUCAGCGACUUAU